CUCGGGUCGGGCAAAUUGGAAGAUCACUCGACUUGGUUAAGCUCAGCCCAGUGCAUUUUUUGAAAUGGUUCCGGAAAAUUCACCUUCACGCUUGAGAAACAACCGCAGCCGCAUACAAAGUGCCGCUGUGCAAGUUAAGACGAUGCAAAAAGCACUUACACUCACUUACCUUUUCCUCUUUUCUUGCAGACGUAGCCUCUCUUGUUGCCGCACGGGUCGUACUUCCAGUCGCCACUGCCAGUGAGCAAGCAGACAACCGUCUCCGACCAACCUUCCCAAUGGCGCUUGAACGUGAACGAGGAUCCGUCAAUCCAUUUGCCGUCAUCGUCAUCGAGUGAGACAUUGGCGCCCAACCACAGAGAGGACGCUUGUGCCUGACUAAUGAGACCUGCGGAUAAAAAAAAGAACAUGCAAGAAGAAUAGGGGGGCGUUAGCCAAGAUGACGAGAAGUCGUAUCAACACCAAGCCAGCAAUAACUAUUAUUUCAUGUUCUAAUGAUAACAUAUGCACACAUGGUUUCAAGUGAAAUGCGGUGGUCAAUGAAUAGUUGUUGUUUUUUUGGGGGGGGGAGGGUUUGGUCAAUGUGGGACCUGCCAGCUGGCAGGAAGAACACAGGAUCCAGACAGACUCGGCUGCUCAAUCCAUAUAUUUCUUGGUGUAGAAGUAAAACCUCAAAUGAUGACAAUGAUAUUGAUAUGUGUAGCAUCAACAAAAGUUCUUGAAACUGCACAACCAUUGACUCACAUAUGCAUUAUGUCUUACAUCUGGUAGAUUUCCAAAGGACAUGAAAAUAGCUACUACCACUGUAGAAAUAGACUAAUUACACGCCAUUCUCUCUCUCUCUGCUCUUUCAAUACUCCGAGAUCCUUGAAAAAGUUUCACAGAAAAACUCGACAACUUUUUUGAAUAAAGAAAAGAAAAAAGUCAA
This is a long non-coding RNA of Syngnathus typhle (broad-nosed pipefish), 928 nucleotides long. RefSeq lists it as uncharacterized. The transcript is spliced from 2 exons. NCBI's taxonomy places the organism in Eukaryota, Metazoa, Chordata, Actinopteri, Syngnathiformes, Syngnathidae. The record is from RefSeq and is a predicted model, not a curated record.